GGGGUUAUAGCUCAGUGGUAGAGCGCUUGCUUCACAUGUACAAGGCACUGGGUUCAAUCCUCAGCCCCA
RNAcentral lists this transfer RNA (69 nucleotides) under Urocitellus parryii (Arctic ground squirrel). Its description in RNAcentral is "Spermophilus parryii (Arctic ground squirrel) tRNA". It matches the Rfam family "tRNA". From Rfam's summary of the family: Transfer RNA (tRNA) molecules are approximately 80 nucleotides in length. Their secondary structure includes four short double-helical elements and three loops (D, anti-codon, and T loops). Further hydrogen bonds mediate the characteristic L-shaped molecular structure. tRNAs have two regions of fundamental functional importance: the anti-codon, which is responsible for specific mRNA codon recognition, and the 3' end, to which the tRNAs corresponding amino acid is attached (by aminoacyl-tRNA synthetases). tRNAs cope with the degeneracy of the genetic code in two manners: having more than one tRNA (with a specific anti-codon) for a particular amino acid; and 'wobble' base-pairing, i.e. permitting non-standard base-pairing at the 3rd anti-codon position. RNAcentral also lists the same sequence under 1 other name. The record is from Rfam by way of RNAcentral. Lineage: Eukaryota; Metazoa; Chordata; Mammalia; Rodentia; Sciuridae.